CGAAGAAAACUUUGCAAUGUGCGGAAGCACGACAAGGUUAAUCCGAGUGGUUUCUGCUAAAGGAACCUUUUGACAGUCCUAGAAACACUGUUGAAUAAGGGUGGGCAAGUUCUGGUGUCAGCCGCCGCGGUAAAACCAGCACCUCAAGUGGUCAGGAUGAUUAUUGGGACCUAAAGCAUCCGUAGCCUGUUCUGUAAGUUUCCGGUUAAAUCCAUUAGCUCAACUAAUGGGCUGCCGAAAAAUACUGCAGAACUAGGGAGUGGGAGAGGUAGACGGUACUCGGUAGGAAGGGGUAAAAAUCCUUUGAUCUAUUGAAUGACCACCUGUGGCGAAGGCGGUCUACCAGGAACACGUUCGACGGUGAGGGAUGAAAGC
RNAcentral lists this ribosomal RNA (375 nucleotides) under uncultured Nitrososphaerota archaeon. RNAcentral describes it as "bacterial SSU rRNA". It matches the Rfam family "Archaeal small subunit ribosomal RNA", at positions 339 to 711 of the family's 1478-position model. Lineage: Archaea; Thermoproteati; Nitrososphaerota. The record is from RNAcentral.